GAGUUUGAUCUUGGCUCAGAGCGAACGCUGGCGGCAGGCCUAACACAUGCAAGUCGAACGAACUCUUCGGAGUUAGUGGCGGACGGGUGAGUAACACGUGGGAACGUGCCUUUUGGUUCGGAAUAACUCAGGGAAACUUGUGCUAAUACCGAAUGUGCCCUUCGGGGAAGAUUUAUCGCCAUUAGAGCGGCCCGCGUCUGAUUAGCUAGUUGGUGAGGUAAAGGCUCACCAAGGCGACGAUCAGUAGCUGGUCUGAGAGGAUGAUCAGCCACAUUGGGACUGGGACACGGCCCAAAACUCCUACGGGAGGCAGCAGUGGGGAAUCUUGCGCAAUGGGCGAAAGCCUGACGCAGCCAUGCCGCGUGAAUGAUGAAGGUCUUAGGAUUGUAAAAUUCUUUCUACCGGGACGAUAAUGACGGUACCCGGAGAAGAAGCCCGGCUAACUUCGUGCCAGCAGCCGCAGUAAC
Molecule: ribosomal RNA, 467 nt
Filed under: uncultured microorganism
Description: bacterial SSU rRNA
Rfam family: Bacterial small subunit ribosomal RNA
Source: RNAcentral